CCUUGGUCCUCCACUUUCUAAGUUGCCAAGCCAGCCUGUCACAACUUUCAUAGAAAGCCUUCAUCGAUGGACGUAGUUCGGUUUCGGUAUAUGUCUCCAUCUCUAGGCGAGCUUCCUCAAAGAUUUCCAGCCAACCGUCUGUAAAGUCCCCCAGACCAUGGACUAUUUGUCUACACCUUCCUUCCCACACCUCCUUGUCCUUCUUAGACCUCUGGAGCGCGACAUCCACAUUUUGUGACCAUUCUUGUCGUUCUGUCAUUAACGAAUUGUAUGCCCUUUCCAACUUCCCCAACUUUUCAGUUAACAUGAUUUUGUCGUGACUAACCUUAUCUAAUGCAUGACGGUGAGCCAUUCCAAUCUCCUCUAACAUGGCCUUUAAUUGGUCUUCCCUUUGAAAGGUUUUUUCUAGUGCAAUCUGAUAUUCUCUUACAGUGGUCCAUGCUUCGCCCUCUUCGUUUAAGCCUUUUUUGGCGAAAGUUUGUAAAUUGUCUACUUUCGCCUCUAGGGUAUGGAUAUCCUUUUGUGCAGUGCGCAGGGCGCGUCCUCGGGCUUUCAAUUGGCUACUCAUGUCGUCUAUCUUUUCUUCUUUUUCUCUUACAAGUUGGCUUAGUUCGUCUAUUUUCUUAUCUUUUUCUUUCCCCGCCCUAAUCAAACGAUAUUUAUCUGAAGUCGAGCACAUGGUGGCA
RNAcentral lists this long non-coding RNA (686 nucleotides) under Lupinus mutabilis. RNAcentral describes it as "partial ncRNA". Lineage: Eukaryota; Viridiplantae; Streptophyta; Magnoliopsida; Fabales; Fabaceae. The record is from RNAcentral.